This 69-nucleotide transfer RNA is filed under the name Ictidomys tridecemlineatus (thirteen-lined ground squirrel). Its description in RNAcentral is "Spermophilus tridecemlineatus (thirteen-lined ground squirrel) tRNA". It matches the Rfam family "tRNA". From Rfam's summary of the family: Transfer RNA (tRNA) molecules are approximately 80 nucleotides in length. Their secondary structure includes four short double-helical elements and three loops (D, anti-codon, and T loops). Lineage: Eukaryota; Metazoa; Chordata; Mammalia; Rodentia; Sciuridae. RNAcentral also lists the same sequence under 2 other names. The record is from Rfam by way of RNAcentral.
GGGAUUGUGGCUCAGUGGUAGAGCGCUUGCCUAGCAUGUGUGAGGCCCUGGGUUCAAUCCUCAGCACCA